AUGCACGCUGGCGGCGUGCCUAAUACAUGCCAGUCGAGCGAACAGAUGAGGAGCUUGCUCCUCUGACGUUAGCGGCGGACGGGUGAGUAACACGUGGAUAACCUACCUAUAAGACUGGGAUAACUUCGGGAAACCGGAGCUAAUACCGGAUAAUAUAUUGAACCGCAUGGUUCAAUAGUGAAAGACGGUUUUGCUGUCACUUAUAGAUGGAUCCGCGCCGCAUUAGCUAGUUGGUAAGGUAACGGCUUACCAAGGCAACGAUGCGUAGCCGACCUGAGAGGGUGAUCGGCCACACUGGAACUGAGACACGGUCCAGACUCCUACGGGAGGCAGCAGUAGGGAAUCUUCCGCAAUGGGCGAAAGCCUGACGGAGCAACGCCGCGUGAGUGAUGAAGGUCUUCGGAUCGUAAAACUCUGUUAUUAGGGAAGAACAAAUGUGUAAGUAACUAUGCACGUCUUGACGGUACCUAAUCAGAAAGCCACGGCUAACUACGU
RNAcentral lists this ribosomal RNA (495 nucleotides) under uncultured bacterium. Its description in RNAcentral is "partial 16S ribosomal RNA". It matches the Rfam family "Bacterial small subunit ribosomal RNA", at positions 29 to 506 of the family's 1533-position model. The record is from RNAcentral.